GCAGGCGAGUAUCUGAAUCCGUCAACUGGCUGUAUAGCCUGUCCAGCAGAUCAAUGGAGUGCUGCAGCAAACUCAGCUUCUACCUGCACGCCAUGUCCAGCUGAAAAAGGGGUAGCCUCUGGAGCAGGAACACAAGAAAGUGACUGCACAUGGAAAGAUUGUGUUGCGGGCGAGUAUCUGAAUUCGUCAACUGGCUGUAUAGCCUGUCCGGCACAUCAAUGGAGUGCUGCAGCAAACUCAGCUUCUACCUGCACGCCAUGUCCAGCUGAAAAAGGGGUAGCCUCUGGAGCAGGAACACAAGAAAGUGACUGCACAUGGAAAGAUUGUGUUGCGGGCGAGUAUCUGAAUCCGUCAACUGGCUGUAUAGCCUGUCCGGCAGAUCAAUGGAGUGCUGCAGCAAACUCAGCUUCUACCUGCACGCCAUGUCCAGCUGAAAAAGGGGUAGCCUCUGGAGCAGGAACACAAGAAAGUGACUGCA
Long non-coding RNA from Bolinopsis microptera, 478 nucleotides. RefSeq lists it as uncharacterized. Lineage: Eukaryota; Metazoa; Ctenophora; Tentaculata; Lobata; Bolinopsidae. The record is from RefSeq and is a predicted model, not a curated record. The transcript is spliced from 3 exons.